Molecule: ribosomal RNA, 234 nt
Filed under: Clostridioides difficile
Lineage: Bacteria; Bacillati; Bacillota; Clostridia; Peptostreptococcales; Peptostreptococcaceae
Description: partial 23S ribosomal RNA
Rfam family: Bacterial large subunit ribosomal RNA
Source: RNAcentral
AAGCCCCAGUAAACGGCGGCCGUAACUAUAACGGUCCUAAGGUAGCGAAAUUCCUUGUCGGGUAAGUUCCGACCCGCACGAAAGGCGUAACGAUUUGGGCACUGUCUCAACAACAGACUCGGUGAAAUUGUAAUUCCGGUGAAGAUGCCGGAUACCUGCGACAGGACGGAAAGACCCCAUGGAGCUUUACUGUAGCUUGACAUUGGGUCUUGGUACUACAUGUACAGGAUAGGU